AAGGGAGACCUAAUCCAGGUAGGAGACGAAAAAAAAGUAGUCCCAACCAAGAAUCAAUCCCAAAAGGUCGGAGCGAGGCGAAAUUGGCUUUCAAACUAGGUUCUGGGUUCACACAAGACCUGAAUCAGGAACAAGGGCUAUUAGCUCAGGUGGUUAGAGCGCACCCCUGAUAAGGGUGAGGUCCCUGGUUCGAGUCCAGGAUGGCCCACCUGCACAGGUGGCAAAAACAAGAGAAGCGAGGAAUCAGCACCUUAUCUUAUCUAUAUAUAUAUAGGAGAGAAUGCUGGCUCUGAGUAAAGAGUCCAGAGGAACCUUGAAAACUGCAUAGAGCUAGGUGAAAAAGCCAAAAAAGAAGACCGCAA
Molecule: transfer RNA, 362 nt
Filed under: uncultured Microcystis sp.
Lineage: Bacteria; Bacillati; Cyanobacteriota; Cyanophyceae; Chroococcales; Microcystaceae
Description: partial 16S-23S ribosomal RNA intergenic spacer
Rfam family: tRNA (bases 135-208)
Source: RNAcentral